GAUUCCUACGGGGGGCAGCAGUGGGGGAUAUUGCACAAUGGGGGGAACCCUGAUGCAGCGACGCCGCGUGGGUGAAGAAGCGCCUCGGCGCGUAAAGCCCUGUCAGCAGGGAAGAAAAUGACGGUACCUGAAGAAGAAGCCCCGGCUAACUACGUGCCAGCAGCCGCGGUAAUACGUAGGGGGCAAGCGUUAUCCGGAAUUACUGGGUGUAAAGGGAGCGUAGACGGUUAAGUAAGUCUGGAGUGAAAGGCCGGGGCCCAACCCCGGGACUGCUCUGGAAACUAUUGAACUUGAGUGCAGGAGAG
This 305-nucleotide ribosomal RNA is filed under the name uncultured bacterium. RNAcentral's name for it is "bacterial SSU rRNA". It matches the Rfam family "Bacterial small subunit ribosomal RNA", at positions 334 to 656 of the family's 1533-position model. The record is from RNAcentral.